UUAACCAGAGCCAGGGAAGGCUCUCCUGCUCAAAACCCUAAAUUGCAAGAAUUGAUCAAAUCGAAGGGCAGAACUAGCUCUAAUCAGAUGCAUGAAUACAAAUUCAUGAUCACCUAGUCGUGAGGAUUACAAGUUUGUCGCUCAACGAGCUAGGUGGAGGCUUGGGAAAGAAGCGGUCAAACGAAUCAAGCACGAGAAGAAAAGCGUAUUCGGAUGGAAGGUGAUUGCCAAGAGUGCCCGGAUGAAGAUCAAGCUCGAAGAAGAACCGAACACGAUAAAGUUAAAAGCUUCCGCGCGGCGUUUCGUCGUAUCUUUUAAACGACGAAUUCAAUUACAUUAAGUUGUUCUUUUUUUUAAAUUGUAAAAGUUUUUAGUAAACUCGUAUU
Long non-coding RNA from Helianthus annuus (common sunflower), 386 nucleotides. RefSeq lists it as uncharacterized. The record is from RefSeq and is a predicted model, not a curated record. The transcript has 3 exons. NCBI's taxonomy places the organism in Eukaryota, Viridiplantae, Streptophyta, Magnoliopsida, Asterales, Asteraceae.